AACUACAUGCUGAAGGAUACAAAAAAAACAACAACAGCAAUAGAAUAAUAUUAAACACAAAGUGAACCCGUCUUCCUUCAUUAAAUAGGUUCUUUUAGAUGUUAAGGAGGAAUUGACUUAACCAGGCUGGCGGAGAAUGAAGACAACCGGACACCUGCUGCAGAUGGGGAAUCAGUGAACUUUUAUUGAGACAGAGACAAACUCUCAACGCAGCUCACAUCAAGAGAUUCCAAAUAUUUGCUAUGAGGAGAAAAGAGUCCAGGCACCACCCUGCCCAGGGGUCGGCUGCAAGCAGUCUCGGUUCCCGAUGAAAGCAGUAACAGCUGUCCUGCACACAAGGGCUGGUGUGUGGAGUUGAUGACUGUCUCAACACAUGUUAAUUGUUCUCCCAAUGUGCUAAGAAUAACACCGGGACCCCAACCAUCAUCAUUAGUUUCUCGAUCUAAU
This is a long non-coding RNA of Astatotilapia calliptera (eastern happy), 447 nucleotides long. The record is from Ensembl. Lineage: Eukaryota; Metazoa; Chordata; Actinopteri; Cichliformes; Cichlidae.